CAUCGGCAUACAUAUCAGAAAAUUUGGAAAGACCAUGUCAGCAUUUAAAUCUCUUCUUAUGCUAAAAGACCAAGACAUUUGAUUACUAGAUCAUUGACUAAACGACAUGCACUCUCUAGAUCAUAUUAUGUAGAGAACUUCAUUGAUAGUCACACAGACAUGUUCAACCGAGAAGCCCUUGCAAAUUGAUGGUAAAAGCGAUUGUAACCAACCUAAGAAUGCAAUGAAAUCUUUAGCAAAAUUUGUCUUGUGAAAAGCUUUCCACGAAAAGAAGAGCAUUAGCAUUAUUUUUCUUGGCCUCCUCCGCAUAAAGUAAGGAGUGAAGAAAAAAAGGAAGAGGAAGGGCAGGAAUGAGGAAGAGAGAAAAGGGGGGUUGGCUUUUGAUUGAUGCUUUCUCUUGUCUAUAUAAAAAUUAUUAUUAUUGUUAUUAUUUGUCUCUGUUUUUGGUUUAAAAUAAAAUCUAUUUGAUUGUACAUUCAUGAUUGCAAAAUUUAUAAUUAUGGGAUUAGCAUAGGAAAUCAUCGCAUCAUAUAGUGGUUGUCAGAUAAGCAUUUCCUUUGUGUGUGCGUCUUUUUUUUUUUUUUUUUUCUUUCUUUUCCAGCUUUUCUAGCAUAACUACUUGAUGGAGACAUUAGCUUCUGUAUAUCUUUCAUAUCUAUAUAUUAUAUUAUUUUAUCUUUUAUUAAUACAUCAAUUUGUAUCAUUACAUCCACCAUAAAUUUAUAUGCAUGCUUACAGAUUGAUACUAAAAAAGAUACUCAACUAUACAGCAUCAUAAACUUAUGCUUCAAUUUAAUAAACAAUAAAGUAAGUUCCCUUUUCAUAAUCUUUAUUUUAAAAAAAAUAAAUAUUUCAUUAAUAAAAAAUA
Molecule: long non-coding RNA, 868 nt
Organism: Ricinus communis (castor bean)
Lineage: Eukaryota; Viridiplantae; Streptophyta; Magnoliopsida; Malpighiales; Euphorbiaceae
Exons: 3
Source: RefSeq, a predicted model, not a curated record